Molecule: unclassified non-coding RNA, 210 nt
Filed under: Melitaea cinxia (Glanville fritillary)
Lineage: Eukaryota; Metazoa; Arthropoda; Insecta; Lepidoptera; Nymphalidae
Description: misc RNA ENSMCXG00005013611.1
Source: RNAcentral
UCCGACCCCCGUUUUAUCCCCUUAGAGGUCGAGUUUCGUAAAAUCCGUUCUCAGCGGAUGUCUACGCCCUAUAAGGAACCUACCUGCCAAAUUUCAAAUUUUUAGCUGUUAUAGUUUCGGAGAUUUCGUGAUGACUGAGUCAACCUACCAUCCCCGUUGUAACCCCAAAAGGGAUUUAUUUUCUAAAGAUACAUUAUUUGGACACCUUCU